This 483-nucleotide ribosomal RNA is filed under the name uncultured bacterium. Its description in RNAcentral is "bacterial SSU rRNA". It matches the Rfam family "Bacterial small subunit ribosomal RNA", at positions 28 to 507 of the family's 1533-position model. The record is from RNAcentral.
GAUGAACGCUAGCGGCAGGCUUAAUACAUGCAAGUCGUGGGGCAGCAUGAGUAGCAAUACUUGAUGGCGACCGGCAAACGGGUGAGGAACACGUACACAACCUUCCUUCAAGCAGGGAAUAGCCCAGAGAAAUUUGGAUUAAUACCCCAUAAUAUAUUUGAUAAGGCAUCUUAUUAAUAUUAAAGCUUCGGCACUUGAUGAUGGGUGUGCGGCUGAUUAGAUAGUUGGCGGGGUAACGGCCCACCAAGUCUACGAUCAGUAGCUGAUGUGAGAGCAUGAUCAGCCACACGGGCACUGAGACACGGGCCCGACUCCUACGGGAGCAGCAGUAAGGAAUAUUGGACAAUGGACGAAAGUCUGAUCCAGCCAUGCCGCGUGAAGGAUUAAGGUCCUCUGGAUUGUAAACUUCUUUAUAUGGGACGAAAAAAGGGCAUUCUUGUUCACUUGACGGUACCAUAUGAAUAAGCACCGGCUAACUCCGUG